RNAcentral lists this transfer RNA (72 nucleotides) under Leptolyngbyaceae cyanobacterium RM1_406_9. RNAcentral describes it as "tRNA-Gly". It matches the Rfam family "tRNA". From Rfam's summary of the family: Transfer RNA (tRNA) molecules are approximately 80 nucleotides in length. Their secondary structure includes four short double-helical elements and three loops (D, anti-codon, and T loops). Further hydrogen bonds mediate the characteristic L-shaped molecular structure. tRNAs have two regions of fundamental functional importance: the anti-codon, which is responsible for specific mRNA codon recognition, and the 3' end, to which the tRNAs corresponding amino acid is attached (by aminoacyl-tRNA synthetases). tRNAs cope with the degeneracy of the genetic code in two manners: having more than one tRNA (with a specific anti-codon) for a particular amino acid; and 'wobble' base-pairing, i.e. permitting non-standard base-pairing at the 3rd anti-codon position. The record is from RNAcentral. RNAcentral also lists the same sequence under 1 other name. Lineage: Bacteria; Bacillati; Cyanobacteriota; Cyanophyceae; Leptolyngbyales; Leptolyngbyaceae.
GCGGGUGUAGUUCAGUGGUAGAACGCAAGCUUCCCAAGCCUGAUGUCGUGAGUUCGAGUCUCAUCACCCGCU